GGGUUGUGAGGUUAAGCGACUAAGCGUACACGGUGGAUGCCCUGGCAGUCAGAGGCGAUGAAGGACGUGCUAAUCUGCGAUAAGCGUCGGUAAGGUGAUAUGAACCGUUAUAACCGGCGAUUUCCGAAUGGGGAAACCCAGUGUGUUUCGACACACUAUCAUUAACUGAAUCCAUAGGUUAAUGAGGCGAACCGGGGGAACUGAAACAUCUAAGUACCCCGAGGAAAAGAAAUCAACCGAGAUUCCCCCAGUAGCGGCGAGCGAACGGGGAGCAGCCCAGAGCCUGAAUCAGUGUGUGUGUUAGUGGAAGCGUCUGGAAAGGCGCGCGAUACAGGGUGACAGCCCCGUACACAAAAAUGCACAUACUGUGAGCUCGAUGAGUAGGGCGGGACACGUGGUAUCCUGUCUGAAUAUGGGGGGACCAUCCUCCAAGGCUAAAUACUCCUGACUGACCGAUAGUGAACCAGUACCGUGAGGGAAAGGCGAAAAGAACCCCGGCGAGGGGAGUGAAAAAGAACCUGAAACCGUGUACGUACAAGCAGUGGGAGCACGCUUAGGCGUGUGACUGCGUACCUUUUGUAUAAUGGGUCAGCGACUUAUAUUCUGUAGCAAGGUUAACCGAAUAGGGGAGCCGAAGGGAAACCGAGUCUUAACUGGGCGUUAAGUUGCAGGGUAUAGACCCGAAACCCGGUGAUCUAGCCAUGGGCAGGUUGAAGGUUGGGUAACACUAACUGGAGGACCGAACCGACUAAUGUUGAAAAAUUAGCGGAUGACUUGUGGCUGGGGGUGAAAGGCCAAUCAAACCGGGAGAUAGCUGGUUCUCCCCGAAAGCUAUUUAGGUAGCGCCUCGUGAAUUCAUCUCCGGGGGUAGAGCACUGUUUCGGCAAGGGGGUCAUCCCGACUUACCAACCCGAUGCAAACUGCGAAUACCGGAGAAUGUUAUCACGGGAGACACACGGCGGGUGCUAACGUCCGUCGUGAAGAGGGAAACAACCCAGACCGCCAGCUAAGGUCCCAAAGUCAUGGUUAAGUGGGAAACGAUGUGGGAAGGCCCAGACAGCCAGGAUGUUGGCUUAGAAGCAGCCAUCAUUUAAAGAAAGCGUAAUAGCUCACUGGUCGAGUCGGCCUGCGCGGAAGAUGUAACGGGGCUAAACCAUGCACCGAAGCUGCGGCAGCGACACUAUGUGUUGUUGGGUAGGGGAGCGUUCUGUAAGCCUGUGAAGGUGUGCUGUGAGGCAUGCUGGAGGUAUCAGAAGUGCGAAUGCUGACAUAAGUAACGAUAAAGCGGGUGAAAAGCCCGCUCGCCGGAAGACCAAGGGUUCCUGUCCAACGUUAAUCGGGGCAGGGUGAGUCGACCCCUAAGGCGAGGCCGAAAGGCGUAGUCGAUGGGAAACAGGUUAAUAUUCCUGUACUUGGUGUUACUGCGAAGGGGGGACGGAGAAGGCUAUGUUGGCCGGGCGACGGUUGUCCCGGUUUAAGCGUGUAGGCUGGUUUUCCAGGCAAAUCCGGAAAAUCAAGGCUGAGGCGUGAUGACGAGGCACUACGGUGCUGAAGCAACAAAUGCCCUGCUUCCAGGAAAAGCCUCUAAGCAUCAGGUAACAUCAAAUCGUACCCCAAACCGACACAGGUGGUCAGGUAGAGAAUACCAAGGCGCUUGAGAGAACUCGGGUGAAGGAACUAGGCAAAAUGGUGCCGUAACUUCGGGAGAAGGCACGCUGAUAUGUAGGUGAAGUCCCUCGCGGAUGGAGCUGAAAUCAGUCGAAGAUACCAGCUGGCUGCAACUGUUUAUUAAAAACACAGCACUGUGCAAACACGAAAGUGGACGUAUACGGUGUGACGCCUGCCCGGUGCCGGAAGGUUAAUUGAUGGGGUCAGCGCAAGCGAAGCUCUUGAUCGAAGCCCCGGUAAACGGCGGCCGUAACUAUAACGGUCCUAAGGUAGCGAAAUUCCUUGUCGGGUAAGUUCCGACCUGCACGAAUGGCGUAAUGAUGGCCAGGCUGUCUCCACCCGAGACUCAGUGAAAUUGAACUCGCUGUGAAGAUGCAGUGUACCCGCGGCAAGACGGAAAGACCCCGUGAACCUUUACUAUAGCUUGACACUGAACAUUGAGCCUUGAUGUGUAGGAUAGGUGGGAGGCUUUGAAGUGUGGACGCCAGUCUGCAUGGAGCCGACCUUGAAAUACCACCCUUUAAUGUUUGAUGUUCUAACGUUGACCCGUAAUCCGGGUUGCGGACAGUGUCUGGUGGGUAGUUUGACUGGGGCGGUCUCCUCCUAAAGAGUAACGGAGGAGCACGAAGGUUGGCUAAUCCUGGUCGGACAUCAGGAGGUUAGUGCAAUGGCAUAAGCCAGCUUGACUGCGAGCGUGACGGCGCGAGCAGGUGCGAAAGCAGGUCAUAGUGAUCCGGUGGUUCUGAAUGGAAGGGCCAUCGCUCAACGGAUAAAAGGUACUCCGGGGAUAACAGGCUGAUACCGCCCAAGAGUUCAUAUCGACGGCGGUGUUUGGCACCUCGAUGUCGGCUCAUCACAUCCUGGGGCUGAAGUAGGUCCCAAGGGUAUGGCUGUUCGCCAUUUAAAGUGGUACGCGAGCUGGGUUUAGAACGUCGUGAGACAGUUCGGUCCCUAUCUGCCGUGGGCGCUGGAGAACUGAGGGGGGCUGCUCCUAGUACGAGAGGACCGGAGUGGACGCAUCACUGGUGUUCGGGUUGUCAUGCCAAUGGCACUGCCCGGUAGCUAAAUGCGGAAGAGAUAAGUGCUGAAAGCAUCUAAGCACGAAACUUGCCCCGAGAUGAGUUCUCCCUGACCCUUUAAGGGUCCUGAAGGAACGUUGAAGACGACGACGUUGAUAGGCCGGGUGUGUAAGCGCAGCGAUGCGUUGAGCUAACCGGUACUAAUGAACCGUGAGGCUUAACCUUACAACGCCGAAGCUGUU
RNAcentral lists this ribosomal RNA (2929 nucleotides) under Escherichia coli. RNAcentral's name for it is "bacterial LSU rRNA". It matches the Rfam family "Bacterial large subunit ribosomal RNA". The record is from RNAcentral. Lineage: Bacteria; Pseudomonadati; Pseudomonadota; Gammaproteobacteria; Enterobacterales; Enterobacteriaceae.